RNAcentral lists this ribosomal RNA (250 nucleotides) under uncultured bacterium. Its description in RNAcentral is "partial 16S ribosomal RNA". It matches the Rfam family "Bacterial small subunit ribosomal RNA", at positions 524 to 773 of the family's 1533-position model. The record is from RNAcentral.
UACGUAGGGUGCAAGCGUUAUCCGGAAUUAUUGGGCGUAAAGGGCUCGUAGGCGGUUCGUCGCGUCCGGUGUGAAAGUCCAUCGCUUAACGGUGGAUCCGCGCCGGGUACGGGCGGGCUUGAGUGCGGUAGGGGAGACUGGAAUUCCCGGUGUAACGGUGGAAUGUGUAGAUAUCGGGAAGAACACCAAUGGCGAAGGCAGGUCUCUGGGCCGUCACUGACGCUGAGGAGCGAAAGCGUGGGGAGCGAAC